UCCCAGACUCCUACGGGAGGCAGCAGUGGGGGAUAUUGCACAAUGGGGGGAACCCUGAUGCAGCGACGCCGCGUGGGUGAAGGAGCGUUUCGGCGCGUAAAGCCCUAUCGGCAGGGAAGAAGAUGACGGUACCUGACCAAGAAGCCCCGGCUAACUACGUGCCAGCAGCCGCGGUAAUACGUAGGGGGCAAGCGUUAUCCGGAUUUACUGGGUGUAAAGGGAGCGUAGACGGCAUGGCAAGUCAGAUGUGAAAGCCCGGGGCUCAACCCCGGGACUGCAUUUGAAACUGUCAGGCUGGAGUGCAGGAGAGGUAAGUGGAAUUCCUAGUGUAGCGGUGAAAUGCGUAGAUAUUAGGAGGAACACCAGUGGCGAGGGCGGCUUACUGGACUGUAACUGACGUUGAGGCUCGAAAGCGUGGGGAGCAAACAGGAUUAGAUCCCCUAGUA
Molecule: ribosomal RNA, 446 nt
Filed under: uncultured bacterium
Lineage: Bacteria
Description: bacterial SSU rRNA
Rfam family: Bacterial small subunit ribosomal RNA
Source: RNAcentral